RNAcentral lists this ribosomal RNA (460 nucleotides) under uncultured bacterium. RNAcentral describes it as "partial 16S ribosomal RNA". It matches the Rfam family "Bacterial small subunit ribosomal RNA", at positions 338 to 795 of the family's 1533-position model. The record is from RNAcentral.
CCUACGGGUGGCUGCAGUGAGGAAUAUUGGUCAAUGGACGGAAGUCUGAACCAGCCAUGCAGCGUGCAGGAUGACUGCUCUAUGGGUUGUAAACUGCUUUUGUACAGGGGUAAAACUUACUACGUGUAUUCAGCUGUAUGUACUAUACGAAUAAGGAUCGGCUAACUCCGUGCCAGCAGCCGCGGUAAUACGGAGGAUCCGAGCGUUAUCCGGAUUUAUUGGGUUUAAAGGGUGCGUAGGUGGAUUGAUAAGUUAGAUGUGAAAGGUCCGAGCUUAACUCGGGAAUUGCCUCUAAUACUGGUGAUCUAGAGAGUAGAUGAGGUAGGCGGAAUGUAUGGUGUAGCGGUGAAAUGCUUAGAGAUCAUAAAGAACACCGAUUGCGAAGGCAGCUCACUAAUCUAUAUCUGACGCUGAGGCACGAAAGUGUGGGGAGCAAACAGGAUUAGAUACCCCAGUAGUC